AUUGAACGCUGGCGGCAGGCCUAACACAUGCAAGUCGAACGGUAACAGGAAGCAGCUUGCUGCUUCGCUGACGAGUGGCGGACGGGUGAGUAAUGUCUGGGAAGCUGCCUGAUGGAGGGGGAUAACUACUGGAAACGGUAGCUAAUACCGCAUAAUGUCGCAAGACCAAAGAGGGAGACCUUCGGGCCUCUUGCCAUCGGAUGUGCCCAGAUGGGAUUAGCUUGUUGGUGGGGUAACGGCUCACCAAGGCGACGAUCCCUAGCUGGUCUGAGAGGAUGACCAGCCACACUGGGACUGAGACACGGUCCAGACUCCUACGGGAGGCAGCAGUGGGGAAUAUUGCACAAUGGGCGCAAGCCUGAUGCAGCCAUGCCGCGUGUAUGAAGAAGGCCUUCGGGUUGUAAAGUACUUUCAGCGGGGAGGAAGGGAGUAAAGUUAAUACCUUUGCUCAUUGACGUUACCCGCAGAAGAAGCACCGGCUAACUCCGUG
RNAcentral lists this ribosomal RNA (490 nucleotides) under uncultured bacterium. RNAcentral describes it as "partial 16S ribosomal RNA". It matches the Rfam family "Bacterial small subunit ribosomal RNA", at positions 30 to 507 of the family's 1533-position model. The record is from RNAcentral.